RNAcentral lists this ribosomal RNA (253 nucleotides) under uncultured bacterium. RNAcentral's name for it is "partial 16S ribosomal RNA". It matches the Rfam family "Bacterial small subunit ribosomal RNA", at positions 524 to 776 of the family's 1533-position model. The record is from RNAcentral.
UACGUAGGGUGCGAGCGUUAAUCGGAAUUACUGGGCGUAAAGCGUGCGCAGGCGGUGAUGUAAGACAGAUGUGAAAUCCCCGGGCUCAACCUGGGAACUGCAUUUGUGACUGCAUCGCUGGAGUGCGGCAGAGGGGGAUGGAAUUCCGCGUGUAGCAGUGAAAUGCGUAGAGAUGUGGAGGAACACCGAUGGCGAAGGCAGCCCCCUGGGCCAAUACUGACGCUCAUGCACGAAAGCGUGGGGAGCAAACAGG